AGAAUUUGAUCUUGGUCAGGAUGAACGCUAGCUACAGGCUUAACACAUGCAAGUCGAGGGGCAGCAGAUCGAAAGCUUGCUUUGGAUGCUGGCGACCGGCGCACGGGUGAGUAACGCGUAUCCAACCUUCCCUAUAGUAGAGAAGUAGCCCGGCGAAAGUCGGAUUAAUGCUCUAUGUUGUAUUUAGAGGACAUCUGAAAGAAUACCAAAGGUUUUACCGCUAUAGGAUGGGGAUGCGUCUGAUUAGGUAGUAGCGGGGUAACGGCCCACCUAGCCGACGAUCAGUAGGGGUUCUGAGAGGAAGGUCCCCCACAUUGGAACUGAGACACGGUCCAAACUCCUACGGGAGGCAGCAGUGAGGAAUAUUGGUCAAUGGACGGAAGUCUGAACCAGCCAAGUAAGCGUGCAGGAUGACGGCCCUAUGGGUUGUAAACUGCUUUUAUAUAGGGAUAAAGUCGGGGACGUGUCCCCGUUUGUAGGUACUAUAUGAAUAAGGACCGGCUAAUUCCGUGCCAGCCGCUGC
RNAcentral lists this ribosomal RNA (523 nucleotides) under uncultured bacterium. Its description in RNAcentral is "bacterial SSU rRNA". It matches the Rfam family "Bacterial small subunit ribosomal RNA", at positions 8 to 518 of the family's 1533-position model. The record is from RNAcentral.